Molecule: ribosomal RNA, 360 nt
Filed under: uncultured bacterium
Lineage: Bacteria
Description: bacterial SSU rRNA
Rfam family: Bacterial small subunit ribosomal RNA
Source: RNAcentral
AACGAACGCUGGCGGCAGGCUUAACACAUGCAAGUCGAACGCUCGUCUUCGGACGGGAGUGGCAGACGGGUGAGUAACGCGUGGGAACGUACCCUUCGGUUCGGAAUAACCCGGGGAAACUCGGGAUUAAUACCGGAUACGUCCGUCUCUGGAGACAGAGGGGGAGAAAGAUUUAUCGCCGAAGGAUCGGCCCGCGUCGGAUUAGCGUAGUUGGUGGGGUAAUGGCCCACCAAGGCGACGAUCCGUAGCUGGUCUGAGAGGAUGAUCAGCCACACUGGGACUGAGACACGGCCCAGACUCCUACGGGAGGCAGCAGUGGGGAAUAUUGGACAAUGGGCGAAAGCCUGAUCCAGCCAUGCC